CAGCAGCCGCGGUAAUACGAAGGGUGCAAGCGUUAAUCGGAAUUACUGGGCGUAAAGCGUGCGUAGGCGGUGAGUUAAGUCUGCUGUGAAAUCCCCGGGCUUAACCUGGGAACUGCAUUUGUGACUGGCAAGCUAGAGUGUGGCAGAGGGGGGUGGAAUUCCGCGUGUAGCAGUGAAAUGCGUAGAUAUGCGGAGGAACACCGAUGGCGAAGGCAGCCCCCUGGGCCAACACUGACGCUCAUGCACGAAAGCGUGGGGAGCAAACAGGAUUAGAUACCCCCGUAGUCCCUGUCUCUUAUAC
RNAcentral lists this ribosomal RNA (301 nucleotides) under uncultured bacterium. RNAcentral describes it as "partial 16S ribosomal RNA". It matches the Rfam family "Bacterial small subunit ribosomal RNA", at positions 509 to 807 of the family's 1533-position model. The record is from RNAcentral.